GACGGACGCUGGCGGCGUGCUUAACACAUGCAAGUCGAACGGAAAGGCCCUGCUUUUGUGGGGUGCUCGAGUGGCGAACGGGUGAGUAACACGUGAGUAACCUGCCCUUGACUUUGGGAUAACUUCAGGAAACUGGGGCUAAUACCGGAUAGGAGCUCCUGCUGCAUGGUGGGGGUUGGAAAGUUUCGGCGGUUGGGGAUGGACUCGCGGCUUAUCAGCUUGUUGGUGGGGUAGUGGCUUACCAAGGCUUUGACGGGUAGCCGGCCUGAGAGGGUGACCGGCCACAUUGGGACUGAGAUACGGCCCAGACUCCUACGGGAGGCAGCAGUGGGGAAUAUUACACAAUGGGCGGAAGCCUGAUGCAGCAACGCCGCGUGCGGGAUGACGGCCUUCGGGUUGUAAACCGCUUUCGCCUGUGACGAAGCGUGAGUGACGGUAAUGGGUAAAGAAGCACCGGCUAACUACGUG
This 468-nucleotide ribosomal RNA is filed under the name uncultured bacterium. Its description in RNAcentral is "partial 16S ribosomal RNA". It matches the Rfam family "Bacterial small subunit ribosomal RNA", at positions 28 to 507 of the family's 1533-position model. The record is from RNAcentral.